UUAUUUUUUUAAGCCUUAUUAGGAGGAUCAAGUAAUCAAACUUUCAAGCAAUCAAACAAUUUUCUGUAUUGGUAUCUCUCUCUCGACACCGUGCUGCCUUUCUAUAAUUGUUUUCUUUAAUGCAAUAAAGUUUUCUUUCAUUCUCGUUCUCAUUCUCAUUUAUGUUAUCUCAAUUACUUUUGACAUUAGUUUUUCCGUACGGAAUUGACAGUCUCGUCUAGCGCACAGAUAUCGGUUGCUUAGUGUGUCAUCGCCCUUCCAAGAAAUCUCAGGAAGGCGCCGCGUAACAGUUGGUAUCAGAGUCUAGGCUCGACAUUGGACAAGGGAACACAUUGCCAUUACCAUCAUUUCUGACCAUGAUAAAUCAUGGGGACCACAUUGCGGCCCUUGAAGAGACGGUUAACGUAUUACAACCCAUCGUGAAUAUGGUGCCUGAUCUAAGAACCAACCUAGUGCAAAGGUUGGACGACGUGGACCGCAGGUUGUGGCAGACCGAAAGUGAUAGUACAAAUAUCAGUCGCAACUUUGAAGGAGACCGACAAAUGGCUGCCAUAGAGGUCGUUGAAAUUUUCAGUAAAUUUGAGGGCCUCCAAUAGGAGUGGAUCGAGGAUUUAGCCUAUAAGGCACAAGAGGCAGAUAGGGUUACUGCCUUGCAACAAACCAUAAAAAACUUGACAGACCAGCUCAAUGUUGCAUUACAAGGCCUACUUUGAGGAGGCGGAAACCAAAUCAGGGGUGCUGCGAACCUCGCCCCCGUGCCACAAAACCUGAAGAUUCUUGAGUCAAAACCCUACAAUGGGGCUCGGAAUGCCAAGGAAGUGGAGAACUUCAUCUUCGAUAUCGAAAAAUACUUCGAUGCCGUAGGGGAGAUAUAAAAAGAUAAAAAAGUAGCAAUUGCUGCCAUGUAUAUUCAAGGUGAUGCUAAACUCUAGUGGCGGGUGAAAUACGAAACCAUCAGGGCAGAUGAAGAUACUUUUGAGACAUGGGGUGGCCUGAAGGCGGCCAUACGCCUACCGUUCUUCCCUAAAAACAUUGAGUACACUGCAUAGAGCAAGCUCCGGGAGCUCCGCUACACCAAGUCAGUCAAGGAUUACGUGCUGGAAUUCUCCGCACUCAUGCCAAACAUACGGGAUAUGGGGGACAAAGACAAACUCUUCACCUUCCUGGAAUGUUUGAAACCUUGUGCCUCUAUGGAGUUACAAAGACAAAUGACACUUUACCCAAGAUGAUCCAAACAGCGAAAUGCCUUGCGGACUACCAAGUGGAAGCUCGGAAGGAUAGUGUCACGCCCCAAACCUGGUGAGGCGAGACCGAUAAUGGUGCCUCACUUGACCGACCGUACUAACCUGAGGCUGAGACAAUUUGUGAAGCAAAGUAUAAAACUGAUUGGAAACUAGCUCCAACUGAACAUCAGCAUAAAGCUUGGUUGGCAAGGCCGUCAUAACUACUAACGCUGACAAACCAAAAAAAUGUACAUACCAAGCCUACAAGGCCAACAUACUGCACUGACUGACAGGAUAUGUUUACAAGCCUCUAGUGAUAGUCGGAACAAGGCCCCGACCUACCUUUAUAAUCUAUAUAUAUAAAAUGGACUCCAAAGUCUAGACUGGGUAACUUCGGGGAAGUGGAGCUUACCAAUCAAGCUGAUGUUUGGCUCUGUCUACUGCGAAGGUCUAUCCGGCUCUCUAUCAAGGCCUACAAGCAUGAAAUGCAGCAUCAUCAUAAAAGGGACGUCAGUACAAAAUAAUGUACCGAGUACGUAAGGUAAUAGAAUAAUUGAGAACUAAGACUGAACUGAUAAUAUAAUAACUGAAAGUAACUGGGAGUCAAAGAUGAUUUGAGGAUAUGCUUACCUAUUGAUACUGACUUAACUCUCUCAAUGUAGUAAGUAAAAUAACUGUCCGACCCUAUAAGGCUCGGUACUGUAACUGCUCUGGCGUAGCAGCUUCUCUCAUCGGUGCUCAGCCAUAGUGGACUCGGUGUAUAACUUACCAUCUGAUUAGAGGUUGGCCAAUAGAGAGCUGCCCACCAAUUAUAGCUCGAUGGUGGUGAAAAUACUGUUAUAUUGUACGUAUAUAUAGAACCUCUGCUCUCUUGACCGAAAGAAGACGAUACUUAACUGAAUAUAAAGUCACGAUAAGGCAGAAUACUGCAAUUUAUUAGACUAGGAUAAUGUACAUAAGUUCAGG
RNAcentral lists this long non-coding RNA (2189 nucleotides) under Nicotiana benthamiana. Its description in RNAcentral is "long non-coding RNA (NBEN_LNC009119)". Lineage: Eukaryota; Viridiplantae; Streptophyta; Magnoliopsida; Solanales; Solanaceae. The record is from RNAcentral.